GCACGGUGGCACACACCUGUAAUCCUUGCUGCUCAUGCUGCUGAGGCCAGCAGAUUUCUUGAGUUUGGGAGUUCUGCACUGUAAUGGCUAAGCAAGAUCAGGGGUCCACACUAAGUUCAGCAUUGAUGUAGUGUGCUUCUUUGAGCAAGGGAUCACUGGGGCACCUGAAGAUCUGGCCCAGCUUGGAAAUGGAGCUGGUCAAAGCUUCCAUGUUGAUUAGUGGUGGGAACUGGCCCAUGAACAACACCUGGACUUCCAGCCUUGGCAUGAGAAAGAGACCCAAUCUUA
Molecule: non-coding RNA, 288 nt
Filed under: Phascolarctos cinereus (koala)
Lineage: Eukaryota; Metazoa; Chordata; Mammalia; Diprotodontia; Phascolarctidae
Source: RNAcentral